Molecule: ribosomal RNA, 1572 nt
Filed under: Lactobacillus helveticus
Lineage: Bacteria; Bacillati; Bacillota; Bacilli; Lactobacillales; Lactobacillaceae
Description: bacterial SSU rRNA
Rfam family: Bacterial small subunit ribosomal RNA
Source: RNAcentral
CAAAAUGAGAGUUUGAUCCUGGCUCAGGACGAACGCUGGCGGCGUGCCUAAUACAUGCAAGUCGAGCGAGCAGAACCAGCAGAUUUACUUCGGUAAUGACGCUGGGGACGCGAGCGGCGGAUGGGUGAGUAACACGUGGGGAACCUGCCCCAUAGUCUAGGAUACCACUUGGAAACAGGUGCUAAUACCGGAUAAUAAAGCAGAUCGCAUGAUCAGCUUAUAAAAGGCGGCGUAAGCUGUCGCUAUGGGAUGGCCCCGCGGUGCAUUAGCUAGUUGGUAAGGUAACGGCUUACCAAGGCAAUGAUGCAUAGCCGAGUUGAGAGACUGAACGGCCACAUUGGGACUGAGACACGGCCCAAACUCCUACGGGAGGCAGCAGUAGGGAAUCUUCCACAAUGGACGCAAGUCUGAUGGAGCAACGCCGCGUGAGUGAAGAAGGUUUUCGGAUCGUAAAGCUCUGUUGUUGGUGAAGAAGGAUAGAGGUAGUAACUGGCCUUUAUUUGACGGUAAUCAACCAGAAAGUCACGGCUAACUACGUGCCAGCAGCCGCGGUAAUACGUAGGUGGCAAGCGUUGUCUGGAUUUAUUGGGCGUAAAGCGAGCGCAGGCGGAAGAAUAAGUCUGAUGUGAAAGCCCUCGGCUUAACCGAGGAAUUGCAUCGGAAACUGUUUUUCUUGAGUGCAGAAGAGGAGAGUGGAACUCCAUGUGUAGCGGUGGAAUGCGUAGAUAUAUGGAAGAACACCAGUGGCGAAGGCGGCUCUCUGGUCUGCAACUGACGCUGAGGCUCGAAAGCAUGGGUAGCGAACAGGAUUAGAUACCCUGGUAGUCCAUGCCGUAAACGAUGAGUGCUAAGUGUUGGGAGGUUUCCGCCUCUCAGUGCUGCAGCUAACGCAUUAAGCACUCCGCCUGGGGAGUACGACCGCAAGGUUGAAACUCAAAGGAAUUGACGGGGGCCCGCACAAGCGGUGGAGCAUGUGGUUUAAUUCGAAGCAACGCGAAGAACCUUACCAGGUCUUGACAUCUAGUGCCAUCCUAAGAGAUUAGGAGUUCCCUUCGGGGACGCUAAGACAGGUGGUGCAUGGCUGUCGUCAGCUCGUGUCGUGAGAUGUUGGGUUAAGUCCCGCAACGAGCGCAACCCUUAUUAUUAGUUGCCAGCAUUAAGUUGGGCACUCUAAUGAGACUGCCGGUGACAAACCGGAGGAAGGUGGGGAUGACGUCAAGUCAUCAUGCCCCUUAUGACCUGGGCUACACACGUGCUACAAUGGGCAGUACAACGAGAAGCGAGCCUGCGAAGGCAAGCGAAUCUCUGAAAGCUGUUCUCAGUUCGGACUGCAGUCUGCAACUCGACUGCACGAAGCUGGAAUCGCUAGUAAUCGCGGAUCAGAACGCCGCGGUGAAUACGUUCCCGGGCCUUGUACACACCGCCCGUCACACCAUGGAAGUCUGCAAUGCCCAAAGCCGGUGGCCUAACCUUCGGGAAGGAGCCGUCUAAGGCAGGGCAGAUGACUGGGGUGAAGUCGUAACAAGGUAGCCGUAGGAGAACCUGCGGCUGGAUCACCUCCUUUCUAAGGAA